UAUUUUUUGGAAAGAGUAGAUCAAAUUUGUUUGUAUUUCUUAAUUCAUCUUGCUAAUAUGUGAUGGUUACAUUGAUUGUGUUUCAGUUCAUCAACAUCUUCCAUUCAUGUCUGAAUUGAGUCUCAAUGCACCCCAUGGAAUGUUGCUAUUGAGCUACUUCAGAAUAAAGAUUUUCCAUGAAUAUGGAAAAGAGAGUGAUGCAGAACCAGUAUAUAAAAGUACUAUUGCUGAAGAAAGGGCUGCCUGCAACUUCUAAAACUAUCCAUGAGGAACUAUCCUAUCUGGAUACAGUGAUUCAAUGAGAAAUGGAAAGAUUGCCCUAUUUCCACAUUCCCUCUAUGCUGAUAGAUGGCUCACUUGUCCAUGAAGAAACUUCAGACUGGACAUCUUUUCACUAGAAGAUAAGAACAGAGACUAUCACAUCCCCCAUGCCAUUCUCAUUCAGGACUAAAAUGGGAAAAAGAUGCAAAUCAGAUACAAAAUGUCAUAACCAUAAAUGCAGCCAGCCAACUAGCAUGGGAGGUGUAGCUUACACCACCUACAGGGUACUUAACUCUGUAAAAGUUUCAUCUUUAACUGUUGGCUGUCCAGGUCUGUUGUCCUUUUCGUAUGAUAAUUGUUUGCCUUUUCCUAUGACCUCAACUUCUCUCCGCAACCAAAAACUCCCAAAUCUGGAUUUCAAGGCAAACUUUUGGCCUUGAAAUGUUUGAACGUAUGGGGAUGUUCAUCUCUCAAGCCCAUUCCAAUUAAUGUGAUUUGUUUUUCAGAUGAUAGUACUGAGCUUUUUCUUCCCACAUCUCUCAGCCAUCUUCGCAUAAUUGAUUUCCAAAACUUGAAAUCCAUAGCCUCUAUGGGACUCAAGAGCGUUGUCUCUCUGGAAACUCUUGUGUUGAAGGACUGCUCUAGGCUCGGGUCUGUUGCAACAAAGGAGAGCUGCCACCCACGCUUGAAGAGCUUCAAAUCAAGGAUUUUCCUAUUCUAAAGAAGAGGUGCCUCAAAGAAGAAGGAAAGGAUUGGCUCAUAAUUGCCUACGUCCCCAAUGUCCUAAUAGAUGAAAUUAUACAACAAUAAGAACUUGCAAGAUUAGGGCCUGGCACCAGGCUUGGCCUCUCACACUGCUGAAUUUCCUACACCUCCAGCAAAUGUGGAAGCCCCUUUUAAUUAUGGUAACCUGGAGAAAGCUGUCAACAAGGCAGCAUCAUCUAACAUUUCUGGAAGAUAUGAAAAUGUUGCUCUGCAUCAAGGACAAAAAUCGACACGCGUAAGACUUGAUAUCUUGCUCAUUGUCUUCCAAAAUAUUUGUGUUUCCUAGAUACAGGAUAGAUUGUUUCUACAAUAUGCCGCAUCCUUUUGUAAAAAUAGAUGACUGAAUCAUCUUUUAAAGAAUCCUGGUUUCUAUUUGCUAAAGUACAAGCAUUGAUCAUACUUUCCUCUUUGUGUUCAAUGAGGUACACAUGGAUACUUUUCUCCUGUAUUAUUCAUAGAAUUCUCCAUGUACCUGUUGGUUGAAAAAGCAAAGAAAGAUGCAAAUGUGUUCAUCAAGAUCUGUAUCCCUGUUCAUGUCUCAAUGCACCCAUUGGAAUGUUGCUAUUGUGCUAGUUCAGAAUAGGGAAAAGAUAGAAAUGCAAGACUGGUUCCAGUGCCAUGGAUCAAGAAAUGUGUCAAGUUUCAAUCCUUUUGCUGAAGAAAGGGCUCCUGAUAGUUCUAAAACUAUUCAUGAGGAACUGUCCUAUCUGGGAACACAGUGAUUAAAGGAGAAAUGGAAAGAUUGCUUGCCCCAUUUCUACAUUCCCUGUAUGCUGACAGGUGGCUCACUUGUCCACCAAGAAACUUCAGAAUGAAUUAUCUUUUCACUAGAAAACAAGAACAGAGACUACCGCAUCCCCGUGCUCUUUUCAAUCAGCACUAAAAUGGGAAAAGAAGCACACCAAAUCCAAAAUUUCAAAAACCGUAAAUGCAGCCUACUAGCAUGGAGAGAGGUCACUUUAUUUUUAGGGUGUACCUGCAGGAAAAGGGGCUGAUGUAGAUAAAAGAAAAAUCCCUGGUCAUUGCUGCAGCUUAUCAGUAUCUGCAUGGAAUGCCAGAAUAUGAAGAGGCCUCCAUCAGAGUGGGGGGCCUUCUCACACCCACCUCUCUUACAGAAUUCAUCUCUCUGGAAACUCGUGUUGAAGGACUGCUCUAGGCUCGGGUCUGUUGCAACAAAGGAGAGCUGCCACCCACGCUUGCAGAGCUUCAAAUCAAGGAUUGUCCAAUUCUAAAGAUGAGGUGCCUCAAAGAAAAAGGAAAGGAUUGGCUCAAGAUUGCCUACAUCUCCAAUGUUCUAAUAGAUGAAAUUAUACAACAAUAAGCAAAUGUGACAGCAAAUGAGAAGCUGUCAACAAGUCUGCAUGGUCUCAGGGGAUUGGUUUAUCAUUGUUGCUCUGCAUCAAGGACCACAAUCGACACUUGCAAGACUUGAUAUCUUGCUCAUUCUCUUCCACAAUAUGUGUGCUUCCAAGAUAAAGGAUAGAUUGUUCGCAAAAGUACCAGCUUUGAUCGUACUUUCCUCUUCAUCUUCAAUGAGUUCAUCAAGAUCUGUAUCCCCAUUCAUGUCUCGAUCUCAGUCCACCAGUGGGAAUGUUGCUAUUUUGCCAGUUCAGAAUAAAUAUUUGCCAUGAAUAGGGAAAAAAUAGAAUUCCAAGACCGGUUAAAGUGCUAUGGAUCAACGGAGAGCUGCCUGCAAAUUCUGAAACUGUCUAUGAGGGACUAUCCUAUCUGUGGAAACUCAGUGAUUCAAGGAGAAAUAGAAGGAUUGCCCUAUUUCUACAUUCCCUGUAUGCUGAUAGAUAAUGUUUCAAUUUUUGGACUGAUUGGAACUCGUGCUUAAAUGGUGAAUGACUAUGUAAUCGACACUGUGAAUUGAAUGUCAUUGUUCAUUGCAUGUUUGGAUAUAAUGACUCUAGUUUGUUUCUUAGGAAAAUGUUAAAAUCUUACUGUUCCUUUCUCCCUUUGCAAUGGAUUUACGGACCUGUCUUUUCUGUUUC
Molecule: RNA transcript, 3023 nt
Organism: Vitis vinifera (wine grape)
Lineage: Eukaryota; Viridiplantae; Streptophyta; Magnoliopsida; Vitales; Vitaceae
Exons: 9
Source: RefSeq, a predicted model, not a curated record